RNAcentral lists this long non-coding RNA (475 nucleotides) under Mustela putorius furo (domestic ferret). Its description in RNAcentral is "lncRNA (ENSMPUG00000031997.1)". The record is from RNAcentral. Lineage: Eukaryota; Metazoa; Chordata; Mammalia; Carnivora; Mustelidae.
CAGGGAGGGAACAUUCUGACCAGGAGUCAGGAGCAUGGAUCCUACUUGCUUCUCUCAUGUUUCACCCCUGAUUCCGAGCGUGACCUUGGCAAACACCAAUCAGAAGCAUCUGAAACAAACAGACCACAGAAACUGGAGUCAAAACCAGCAUUUUGUCAACUGAUUAGAUAGCAGUUAGUUUAAUGCUAACAUUAAUCAAGGUCUGAUUGCUCCAUUGUGAGGAACAAGAACUAUGUGCUGAGAUUAAUAUGCAAGAUCUGGUUCAGAAUGUUUCUGCAGAAACCCCCACGCAGUAAUUAAGAAGAACACCAAAUGAAGGUUAUUGAUCCGUUGUGUUAUUGAGAAACAACAUAAUUGAUAUUUCAGACCUUAAUUGUUGAUUCCAAAGUAAAAGAGACAGUUUGUACAGAUCAUUAGUAACAGAGUUUUUUGUUCUUAUAAUUUAAACCAAAAUAUUGAGUUCAAAUGUUACCCU